Molecule: ribosomal RNA, 427 nt
Filed under: uncultured bacterium
Lineage: Bacteria
Description: bacterial SSU rRNA
Rfam family: Bacterial small subunit ribosomal RNA
Source: RNAcentral
UGGUGAGUAACGCGUGGGUGACGUACCCUUAGAUGGGGAUAGCUGUUAGAAAUAGCAGAUAAUACCGAAUAAGGUGCAUUUUGUUAGAGGAAUGCAGGAAAGGAUCUUUAGAUCCGCUGAAGGAACGGCCCGCGUACUAUUAGCUAGUUGGUGAGGUAACGGCCCACCAAGGCGAUGAUAGUUACCCGGCCUAAGAGGGUGAUCGGGCACAUUGGGACUGAGAUACGGCCCAGACUCCUACGGGAGGCAGCAGCUAAGAAUAUUCCGCAAUGCACGAAAGUGUGACGGAGCGACGCCGCGUGGAUGAUGAAAAGGCCGGAAGGUUGUAAAGUCCUUUUAAGUAUGAAGAAUAAGCAUUGUGAGAGAAACGCAGUGCGGUGACGGUAGUGCCUGAAUAAGGGGCGGCUAAUUACGUGCCAGCAGCAGC